RNAcentral lists this ribosomal RNA (1522 nucleotides) under human oral metagenome. RNAcentral's name for it is "bacterial LSU rRNA". It matches the Rfam family "Bacterial large subunit ribosomal RNA", at positions 1064 to 2611 of the family's 2925-position model. The record is from RNAcentral.
UGGAAAAGGAUGUGGGAUUUCGAAGACAGCUAGGAUGUUGGCUUAGAAGCAGCCAUACAUUAAAAGAGUGCGUAACAGCUCACUAGUCGAGAGGUCCUGCGCCGAAAAUGUCCGGGGCUAAACACAACACCGAAGCCUGGGAAUGUAGUAAUACAUUGGUAGAGGAGCAUUCUUAGAGGCGUAGAAGCCAUACCGGAAGGAAUGGUGGAGUAAUAAGAAGAGAGAAUGCCGGAAUGAGUAGCGAGAAAGAGGUGAGAAUCCUCUUGGCCGAAUAUCUAAGGUUUCCUGAGUAAAGCUGAUCUACUCAGGGUAAGUCGGGGCCUAAGGCAAGGUCGAAAGACGUAGUCGAUGGAUAACAGGUACAGAUUCCUGUACUACAUAUAAUCAGAACUGUGGGGACACGGAGACUAAAACCGAACCCGGGAGGACAAAAACCGGGGCAAGCGAAGUACCUGUAUGGGAGGAAAAACCACCAUACAAGGGGAAUGCGUGAUGCGUACCGAAAAUUAGUAGGGAAGUCGGUUAGGGAGCCGUCAAGAAAAGCCGCUAUUGUGUUAUAUGUACCCGUACCGCAAACCGACACAGGUAGAUGAGGAGAGAAUCCUAAGGCCGGCGGGAGAAGCAUUGUUAAGGAACUCGGCAAAAUGACCCCGUAACUUCGGGAGAAGGGGUGCCACUGGAAACAGUGGUCGCAGAAAAAAGGCUCAAGCAACUGUUUAGCAAAAACACAGGUCUAUGCGAAACCGCAAGGUGAAGUAUAUGGGCUGACGCCUGCCCGGUGCCGGAAGGUUAAGAGGAGAAGUCAGGAAACGAAGCUUUGAAUUGAAGCCCCGGUAAACGGCGGCCGUAACUAUAACGGUCCUAAGGUAGCGAAAUUCCUUGUCGGGUAAGUUCCGACCCGCACGAAAGGCGUAAUGAUUUGAGCGCUGUCUCAACAAUGCACCCGGUGAAAUUGAAGUACCAGUGAAGAUGCUGGUUACCCGCGCCAGGACGGAAAGACCCCAUGGAGCUUUACUCCAGUUUGGUACUGGGAUUCGGUAAUACUCGUACAGGAUAGGUGGGAGACAUAGAAGCAUGGACGCCAGUUUAUGCAGAGUCGCCGUUGGGAUACCACCCCUGUAUUGCUGGAUUUCUAACCUGCGGCCGUUAUCCGGCCGGGGGACAAUGCCAGACGGGGAGUUUGACUGGGGCGGUCGCCUCCGAAAGAGUAUCGGAGGCGCUCGAAGGUUCCCUCAGAAUGGUCGGAAACCAUUCAAAGAGUGCAAAGGCAGAAGGGAGCUUGACUGCGACACCGACGGGUGGAGCAGGUACGAAAGUAGGACUUAGUGAUCCGGUGGUAUAAAGUGGGAUUGCCAUCGCUCAACGGAUAAAAGCUACCCUGGGGAUAACAGGCUUAUCACUCCCAAGAGUUCACAUCGACGGAGUGGUUUGGCACCUCGAUGUCGGCUCAUCGCAUCCUGGGGCUGUAGCAGGUCCCAAGGGUUGGGCUGUUCGCCCAUUAAAGCGGUACGCGAGCUGGGUU